This 69-nucleotide transfer RNA is filed under the name Neotoma lepida (desert woodrat). It matches the Rfam family "tRNA". From Rfam's summary of the family: Transfer RNA (tRNA) molecules are approximately 80 nucleotides in length. Their secondary structure includes four short double-helical elements and three loops (D, anti-codon, and T loops). Further hydrogen bonds mediate the characteristic L-shaped molecular structure. tRNAs have two regions of fundamental functional importance: the anti-codon, which is responsible for specific mRNA codon recognition, and the 3' end, to which the tRNAs corresponding amino acid is attached (by aminoacyl-tRNA synthetases). tRNAs cope with the degeneracy of the genetic code in two manners: having more than one tRNA (with a specific anti-codon) for a particular amino acid; and 'wobble' base-pairing, i.e. permitting non-standard base-pairing at the 3rd anti-codon position. Lineage: Eukaryota; Metazoa; Chordata; Mammalia; Rodentia; Cricetidae. The record is from Rfam by way of RNAcentral.
GGAGAGAUGGCUCAGUGGUUAGAGCACUGGCUGCUCUUCCAGAGGUCCUGAGUUCAAUUCCCAGCACCA